AACGAACGCUGGCGGCAUGCCUAACACAUGCAAGUCGAACGGGACCUUCGGGUCUAGUGGCGCACGGGUGCGUAACGCGUGGGAACCUGCCCUUAGGUUCGGAAUAACUCCCCGAAAGGGGUGCUAAUACCGGAUAAUGUCUUCGGACCAAAGAUUUAUCGCCUUUGGAUGGGCCCGCGUUGGAUUAGCUAGUUGGUAGGGUAAAAGCCUACCAAGGCGACGAUCCAUAGCUGGUCUGAGAGGAUGAUCAGCCACACUGGGACUGAGACACGGCCCAGACUCCUACGGGAGGCAGCAGUGGGGAAUAUUGGACAAUGGGCGAAAGCCUGAUCCAGCAAUGCCGCGUGAGUGAUGAAGGCCUUAGGGUUGUAAAGCUCUUUUACCCGGGAUGUUAAGGACGGUACCGGGAGAAUAAGCUCCGGCUAACUCCGU
This 432-nucleotide ribosomal RNA is filed under the name uncultured bacterium. RNAcentral describes it as "partial 16S ribosomal RNA". It matches the Rfam family "Bacterial small subunit ribosomal RNA", at positions 29 to 506 of the family's 1533-position model. The record is from RNAcentral.